Dreissena polymorpha is the source of this 718-nucleotide long non-coding RNA. RefSeq lists it as uncharacterized. The transcript has 3 exons. NCBI's taxonomy places the organism in Eukaryota, Metazoa, Mollusca, Bivalvia, Myida, Dreissenidae. The record is from RefSeq and is a predicted model, not a curated record.
UUAGUGUAAAAUGUCUUGAAAUACUUUCAGCAUGAAGUAUUGUGUGAUGAAAAAAAUGUGUAUUUACUACAAUGUGUAAAUCAACAAUAAAGGAGAUUAAAAGUGGGUGGUUAAAGACAUAUAAAGUGAUAUGGUCUAGUUCAACAACUGCCUGUAUUUUUGGAAUACUGAAGAACAGUCUGUUGUAACAGGUUAAACCCCAUGGAAAGAAUGUGCAUCAUCGCAUCGCCUGCCAAAAAAGGGAGCAAAAAAGAGACUACCUGAUGUAUGGACUUGAAUACCAGGUUUUACCCUGCACAAGCUGGCCGACAUGAGAAGAACAGGAGUGGGAAAACCGCGCCCUCUCCUUGACCAAGAAAAGCUGGAUUUGUUUAGAGGACCUGAUCAAAUGAGAUCAUGCACGAGACGCAUCGCGCAAAGGCCAUGACAGUAUAAUUGUUGCAAAGAAGUUUGACCGGCUAGUGGCAGACUUGGAGAGAAAGAUGAGAGCUGCACUCCGCUGCCUCAAAGAAAUGCUGAAAGGCCUUGAUUGAUAUGCAUCUUUCUUAUGUAUAUAGCUGUUCGUGUGUAUAUACUGUACAUGUUAUUAUAGUAUGCUAUUAUUUUUUGUUUAUUUAUAAUCAAAUUAUGUUUAUAUUUAUUUCAUCAAAUUGCCAUUGAUAUUUAAUUACUCAUGUAUGUUAAAAAAUGUUGGUGUACAUUAAAGUAUAAAAUUGAA